UAGCUAAAUGCGGAAGAGAUAAGUGCUGAAAGCAUCUAAGCACGAAACUUGCCCCGAGAUGAGUUCUCCCUGACCCUUUAAGGGUCCUGAAGGAACGUUAAAGACUAUGACGUUGAUAGGUCGGGUGUGUAAGUGUAGCGAUACAUUGAGCUAACCGAUACUAAUGAACCGUGAGGCUUAACCUUACAACGCCGAAG
This 197-nucleotide ribosomal RNA is filed under the name Citrobacter sp. DNRA3. Its description in RNAcentral is "partial 23S ribosomal RNA". It matches the Rfam family "Bacterial large subunit ribosomal RNA", at positions 2746 to 2925 of the family's 2925-position model. The record is from RNAcentral. Lineage: Bacteria; Pseudomonadati; Pseudomonadota; Gammaproteobacteria; Enterobacterales; Enterobacteriaceae.